CUUGCCUAUUUCUCCAUUCCCUUGGAGCUCAUAUAUUUUGUGCAGAAAUCCGCUUUCUUUCCGUACAGAUGGGUGCUUGUGCAGUUCGGUGCUUUCAUUGUUCUUUGUGGAGCAACCCAUUUCAUAAAUGUAUGGACUUUCUCUAUGCACACCAAAACUGUUGCCAUAUUCAUGACUGUUGCCAAGGUUUCGUGUGCCGUUGUAUCGUGUGCUACCGCUCUAAUGCUCGUUCACAUUAUCCCGGAUUUGCUAAGCGUCAAGAAACGGGAGCUGUCGCUGAAGAGCAGAGCUGAAGAGCUUGACAAGGAGAUGGGGCUUAUGCUCACUCAGGAAGAAACAGGAAGGCAUGUUAGGAUGCUGACUCAUGAAAUUCGAAGCACGUUGGAUAGGCACACUAUAUUGAAAACUACCCUUGUUGAGUUGGGUAGAACUCUAGGCCUCCAGGAAUGCGCGUUAUGGAUGCCGUCCAGAACUGGUAUGAACCUACAGCUUUCUCACACUCUGAACUACCACAUACAAGCUGGGUCAUCUGUGUCAAUGGACCUUCCUGUUGUCAACGAAGUCUUCAACAGUUCUCGGGCAAUUCGUAUACCAUAUACCUGCCCACUGGCAAGAAUCAGACCGCUUGUGGGAAGAUAUGUACCACCUGAGGUUGUUGCUCUGCGGGUGCCCCUUUUAAAUCUUUCAAAUUUUCAAAUCAAUGACUGGCCGGAUGUCUCUGCCAAAAGCUACGCAAUCAUGGUUUUGAUUCUACCCACGGAUGGCACCAGAAAGUGGCGAGAACAUGAACUGGAGCUGGUUGAUGUUGUGGCAGAUCAGGUGUGUUUUGUUGUUCACUCGUUCCGUUUUCACUGAAUGACUUGCCAUCGUGAUACAUGACUCUUUUUCUUUGUAUUUCACAAUGCUUAUUUGCGUACUGUUCGGGUGCUGUUUGCAUCUGAAGUUCAUGAAUUGAAAGGCUAAUGUAUUAACAACUGAUCUGUCACUUGUCUUCCUUAUGAUUCCUAUACACGUACUUAAAGGUUAUAACAAGUGUGGUUGUGCUCAGGUAGCUGUUGCUCUUUCACAUGCUGCUAUUCUGGAAGAGUCUAUGCGAGCCCGUAAACAGCUCACGGAGCAGAACGAUGCUUUAGAUUUAGCUUGGAGAGAAGCAGAGAUGGCAAUCCAUGCCCGCGAUGAUUUCCUUGCUGUCAUGAACCAUGAAAUGAGGACACCAAUGCAUGCAAUCAUUGCAUUGUCUUCUCUUCUGUUAGAGACGGAACUGACUCCGGAAGAAAGGCUUAUGAUAGAGACAGCACUAAAGAGUAGCAACCUUUUGGAAACACUUGUUAAUGAUGUUUUAGAUCUUUCUAGACUUGAAGAUGAUAACCUAGAAUUAGACACUGAAAGAUUUAACCUCCAUGGAAUUUUCAGAGAGGUAAACUUUCCAGACUCAGGGCUUGAAUGUGUACUUUGGAAUAAUUUGGUUUUCGUGAACUUACAUACAAACCUUUUACAAACUGUAGGUAAUGAAUUUGGUACAGCCCGUCGCAUCUGUGAAGAAGUUGUCUAUGACUUUGAUUCAAUCCCCUGACUUACCUGUGUAUGCCGUUGGAGAUGAGAAUCGGCUGUUGCAAACUAUUCUCAACGUUGCCGGUAAUGCUGUGAAGUUCACAAAGCAGGGCUAUAUUUCAAUUACAGCAUCUGUUGCGAAAUCAGAAUCUUCAAGAGACUGGCAACCGCCGGAGUUUUAUCCAGGGUCAACUGAUGGUUACUUCUACCUACGAGUUCAGGUCAAUUAUUGUGCGUUUUAUCGCUGUUUAGCUUUACUUUGUGUGCUGAGGUCGAUACAUCUCUUAGUAACUUCGACAGUGAAGCAACGUGAUCUGAUGGCAUUCCUGUUGCAGGUUAAGGAUUCUGGCUGUGGUGUUCUCCCAGAAGAUAUUCCUCAUCUUUUCACCAAGUUUUCUCAGCCCCGAAAUGGAUCCAAUCAAAUAAACAACGGUGCAGGACUUGGACUUGCCAUUUGCAAACGGUAUGGUUGAAAACUUUCCGAUCUUUCAUCAUUUCCGUAGGGCAUUUAAAAACUUGCAUCCUGCUUUUGUUUUCUCGCCUAUUCAUCCAACUUGGUCACCUUAUGUCCUGAAAUGACUUGGAUUAGGUUUGUAAACACCAUGGGAGGUCAUAUUUGGAUUGAAAGCGAGGGUAUCGACAGAGGGAGUAUCGUUGCAUUCAUCGUCCAACUAGGGAUAUGCGACAAUCAUAGUGAUACAACAACACACCAGGUCCAGAUUGCCACCUAAAGGACAAGCAAAUUAUGGAAGCGGAGAUCUCAUCGGACACAAACCCGCCUUUAGGGAUUGUUUCGGAAUAACUUCAUCGAAUGCACGUUAUCAAAGAAGUCUUUGAAUGCCAGUGGAUACACCGAUCAAUGUUUUCUGCCUGGCAGAGUUAUUAGCUCAACCGGGGAAUUUUGGUUUAGUAUGUUGAGGUUGGAAGAAAUUUGUGUGUUUAAAAUUGUGAACGUUGAUUGUUACUGUUAUCCUCAUCGUUACGAGGCCAUCAGUGGGAAAUGUUGCUUAAUUAGUGUUAAAUCCUCGUCCGAAUGAGGCAAACCAGGUAAUUAAAACCUGUUUGAUAGUCGAUACUCCAUUAUCUUAAAUCGU
RNAcentral lists this long non-coding RNA (2645 nucleotides) under Malus domestica (apple). RNAcentral's name for it is "long non-coding RNA (MDOM_LNC010989)". The record is from RNAcentral. Lineage: Eukaryota; Viridiplantae; Streptophyta; Magnoliopsida; Rosales; Rosaceae.